RNAcentral lists this ribosomal RNA (281 nucleotides) under uncultured Rikenellaceae bacterium. Its description in RNAcentral is "partial 16S ribosomal RNA". It matches the Rfam family "Bacterial small subunit ribosomal RNA", at positions 1100 to 1382 of the family's 1533-position model. Lineage: Bacteria; Pseudomonadati; Bacteroidota; Bacteroidia; Bacteroidales; Rikenellaceae. The record is from RNAcentral.
AACCCCUACUGCUAGUUGCCAGCGGGUCGUGCCGGGGACUCUAGCGGAACUGCCAGCGUAAGCUGCGAGGAAGUGGGGAUGACGUCAAAUCAGCACGGCCCUUACGUCCAGGGCUACACACGUGUUACAAUGGCCAGUACAGAGGGCAGCCACCCGCGAGGGGGCGCUAAUCCUAAAAGCUGGUCCCAGUUCGGAUCGGAGUCUGCAACCCGACUCCGUGAAGCUGGAUUCGCUAGUAAUCGCGCAUCAGCCACGGCGCGGUGAAUACGUUCCCGGGCCUU